GAUGAUCAGCAGGUAAAAGAGUCCACAGAGAAAUCCUCAGUUUAAUGAUCGAUCAUGAUUCGUUAUCAAUACCUAAUUAGCGCUCCAUGCUCUGCAGUCACACUCUCUCUGCCAGCACACUCCAGGCUAAAACACGUUUUGUUGGUUAAACUGGAUCCUUUUCUGCCUUUUUCAUCACGUUUGUGUUGCAAAUGAGAUUUGCUGAGUUUUUGGCAGAGAGGACGCCGUGAUGCUGCGUCGGAUUCCAGCGCGGCGAGGAGAGGAGGCGUCUCCAAACGCAGGACGGAAACUUUGGAGCUGCUGGUGUCAGGCAGACGGCGUCCCAGAGUUAUUUCUGACUGUGCUGCCAGCAGAGGCGGCGAGCUGCUGGAUGGAGCGUUUUUCAUGAUAAUCAUAUCAUUUCAGCUUAAUGACUCCUGACAGCCAUGCGCUUUGUCAUCUAUCUUUAAUCCUUAAAAACACCAAAAUAACUCCGCCGGCGCUCCAGCUCGUUCUCUUUUGAUUUGAGCCACAGGUACCGGCGGAGCGCCGCUCUCCCAGGGUUCAACCAGAGACAUGAAGGAUUCCCGUUUCUCUUUCAUCUGUGAGGACAGAGCCGGGAGGGAACCGUAAUGAAGGCGGAGCUGCAGCCGUUCAGAAGCUGGUGAGAGGCGGAAACAUCAGGACACAAACUUCAGGAACUCUGAAAGGAGUUCCUCUGACCGAC
Molecule: long non-coding RNA, 706 nt
Organism: Oryzias melastigma (Indian medaka)
Lineage: Eukaryota; Metazoa; Chordata; Actinopteri; Beloniformes; Adrianichthyidae
Exons: 4
Source: RefSeq, a predicted model, not a curated record